Molecule: ribosomal RNA, 504 nt
Filed under: uncultured Glomus
Lineage: Eukaryota; Fungi; Glomeromycota; Glomeromycetes; Glomerales; Glomeraceae
Description: SSU rRNA
Rfam family: Eukaryotic small subunit ribosomal RNA
Source: RNAcentral
AGCAGCCGCGGUAAUUCCAGCUCCAAUAGCGUAUAUUAAAGUUGUUGCAGUUAAAAAGCUCGUAGUUGAAUUUCGGGGUCAAUAAGUUGGUCGUGCCAAUGGUAUGCACUGGCUUUAUUGAUUCCUACCUCUUGACGAACUGUGAUGCCAUUAAUUUGGUGUCGCAAGGAAUCAGGACUGUUACCUUGAAAAAUUAGAGUGUUUAAAGCAGGCUUACGCUUGAAUACAUUAGCAUGGAAUAAUGAAAUAGGACGUUUGAACCUAUUUUGUUGGUUUCUAGGAUCGACGUAAUGAUUAAUAGGGAUAGUUGGGGGCAUUAGUAUUCAAUUGUCAGAGGUGAAAUUCUUGGAUUUAUUGAAGACUAACUACUGCGAAAGCAUUUGCCAAGGAUGUUUUCAUUAAUCAAGAACGAAAGUUAGGGGAUCGAAGACGAUCAGAUACCGUCGUAGUCUUAACCAUAAACUAUGCCGACUAGGGAUCGGAUGAUGUUAAUUUUUUAAUGUA